Molecule: ribosomal RNA, 773 nt
Filed under: Salmonella enterica subsp. enterica
Lineage: Bacteria; Pseudomonadati; Pseudomonadota; Gammaproteobacteria; Enterobacterales; Enterobacteriaceae
Also listed under: 2 other names
Description: partial 23S ribosomal RNA
Rfam family: Bacterial large subunit ribosomal RNA
Source: RNAcentral
GGGACACGUGGUAUCCUGUCUGAAUAUGGGGGGACCAUCCUCCAAGGCUAAAUACUCCUGACUGACCGAUAGUGAACCAGUACCGUGAGGGAAAGGCGAAAAGAACCCCGGCGAGGGGAGUGAAAAAGAACCUGAAACCGUGUACGUACAAGCAGUGGGAGCACAGGUUUACCUGUGUGACUGCGUACCUUUUGUAUAAUGGGUCAGCGACUUAUAUUCUGUAGCAAGGUUAACCGUAUAGGGGAGCCGGAGGGAAACCGAGUCUUAAUUGGGCGUUAAGUUGCAGGGUAUAGACCCGAAACCCGGUGAUCUAGCCAUGGGCAGGUUGAAGGUUGGGUAACACUAACUGGAGGACCGAACCGACUAAUGUUGAAAAAUUAGCGGAUGACCUGUGGCUGGGGGUGAAAGGCCAAUCAAACCGGGAGAUAGCUGGUUCUCCCCGAAAGCUAUUUAGGUAGCGCCUCGUGAAUUCAUCUCCGGGGGUAGAGCACUGUUUCGGCUAGGGGGCCAUCCCGGCUUACCAACCCGAUGCAAACUGCGAAUACCGGAGAAUGUUAUCACGGGAGACACACGGCGGGUGCUAACGUCCGUCGUGAAGAGGGAAACAACCCAGACCGCCAGCUAAGGUCCCAAAGUCAUGGUUAAGUGGGAAACGAUGUGGGAAGGCCCAGACAGCCAGGAUGUUGGCUUAGAAGCAGCCAUCAUUUAAAGAAAGCGUAAUAGCUCACUGGUCGAGUCGGCCUGCGCGGAAGAUGUAACGGGGCUAAACCAUG